Molecule: ribosomal RNA, 256 nt
Filed under: uncultured bacterium
Lineage: Bacteria
Description: partial 16S ribosomal RNA
Rfam family: Bacterial small subunit ribosomal RNA
Source: RNAcentral
UACGUAGGGUGCAAGCGUUAAUCGGAAUUACUGGGCGUAAAGCGUGCGCAGGCGGUUCGCUAAGACAGAUGUGAAAUCCCCGGGCUUAACCUGGGAACUGCAUUUGUGACUGGCGGGCUAGAGUAUGGCAGAGGGGGGUAGAAUUCCACGUGUAGCAGUGAAAUGCGUAGAGAUGUGGAGGAAUACCGAUGGCGAAGGCAGCCCCCUGGGCCAAUACUGACGCUCAUGCACGAAAGGCGUGGGGGAGCAAACAAGG